Long non-coding RNA from Corvus hawaiiensis (hawaiian crow), 550 nucleotides. RefSeq lists it as uncharacterized. Lineage: Eukaryota; Metazoa; Chordata; Aves; Passeriformes; Corvidae. The record is from RefSeq and is a predicted model, not a curated record. The transcript is spliced from 3 exons.
CCCGGCAGCGCUGCCAGGCCCCGGCGCUGCCGCUCCGGACAGUCCCUAGGAAAGGGCUCUACUUCAGGCACACCUGGCGCUCAGGUGACUGUCCCAAAGGCUGGGGACAGCCAGGGUGUUCCGGCAGCUCCGGGUGUGCCAGUGGCCCUGGGCCCUGCUGAGGACUGCAGAGCUCCGCAGUGGUUAUUCUGAUUUCCAUCUUUAACAAGUUCAAGACUGGUGCCGAGUUGCUUGGUCCAGGCACAAACACAAUCUCAUUUCAAGGAGGAAAAACUUAUUUUAAGCUAAUUUCCCAGUAUUCAGUGUAAUUAUUAAAGCUACCAACUUGUUACAAUUUUGCAUUUUGCUAAAAGAAGUGUUUCUUUGGUGUAUAAACACACAGAUUAAAACACUUUUCGAAGUUCUCCUUCAGAGGCAGCUGGAAGGAAGCUCACACGUUACUAAAGAGUUUAGUAAAGAUCAUGUCUUAUCUCUUCCAAUCAAAUGGUGAAUGAAGAUGGCCAAUGCUCCAUCAAAAGGGGAAACUAUCUCUGUCUUCGAAGGCACAUUA